RNAcentral lists this unclassified non-coding RNA (333 nucleotides) under soil metagenome. RNAcentral's name for it is "partial contains 5.8S ribosomal RNA, internal transcribed spacer 2, and large subunit ribosomal RNA". The stretch from base 1 to 120 matches the Rfam family "5.8S ribosomal RNA", at positions 35 to 154 of the family's 154-position model. The record is from RNAcentral.
GAUGAAGAACGUAGUGAAAUGCGAUAAGUAAUGUGAAUUGCAGAAUUCAGUGAAUCAUCGAAUCUUUGAACGCACAUUGCGCCCGCUAGUAUUCUGGCGGGCAUGCCUGUUCGAGCGUCAUUUCAACCAUCAAGCCCCUUAGCUUGUGUUGGGGACCUGCGGCUGCCGCAGCCCCCGAAAUGUAGUGGCGGGCUCGUUGUCACACCGAGUGCAGUAAUCAUUCUUCUCUCCGGGCGUGGCGGCGGGUUCCGGCCGUAAAAUCCAAUUUAUCAAGGUUGACCUCGGAUCAGGUAGGAAUACCCGCUGAACUUAAGCAUAUCAAUAAGCGGAGGA